Hydra vulgaris (swiftwater hydra) is the source of this 598-nucleotide long non-coding RNA. RefSeq lists it as uncharacterized. Lineage: Eukaryota; Metazoa; Cnidaria; Hydrozoa; Anthoathecata; Hydridae. The record is from RefSeq and is a predicted model, not a curated record.
UUCCAUUAAAAAAUAUAUAAAUAAAUUAAAAUAUCUAACUUUGAAAUUAUAAUUUGUAUAAUUUCUCCAUAUUUGAAAUUACAAUGUGUAUUAUAAUAUCUUCUCGUGAAAAAAAAAAUGGCGCUUAGUAAAUAAGAGAGGAGCCAUUAAAUACAGGAAUGGCUCCCAAUUUUGAUUGGAUGAAAAAAUUUUGUUUCACGAAGUCCGAAAAACAUUUUUUCUCGUUUGCCGGAUAUCGUGACUUGUAUAUGUUAUAUAUGAAACAUGUAUAUGAAAUAUUAUGAAUAUAUUCUUUAGAUCGGAGCAAAUAUUUUGACCAAUCAAAUUAGGGAGCCAUUCCUAAGUAAAAUUCAACAGUAAAUGAUAGUUAAAUCUAUAUAAUUCACUACAAACAGUUAUACACGAAGUCUAAGAUGCGGAUGAUGAAGAUUUGCUGCACGUCACAUCAAUCAGAGUAAUGCUUGUGAUUAUCUUAUUAGAGUCAUGACUUAGUAAAUCUUGAUGAAAAAAACUGUUUGGUGAAAAGACUUUUAGCAAAAAAAAAUCUUAUUAAACUGUCUAAAUGAUUACUUCUAUAAAAAAGGUGUAGUGCAUACAA